Molecule: long non-coding RNA, 477 nt
Filed under: Salmo salar (Atlantic salmon)
Lineage: Eukaryota; Metazoa; Chordata; Actinopteri; Salmoniformes; Salmonidae
Description: lncRNA (ENSSSAG00000115356.1)
Source: RNAcentral
GCCUCCUAGCACCACACGUGAGACUGACGGCCGUUGACAACUGCCAUUUGGACCCUUUUCUGUGCGAAAAAUGUCAUUUUCCGACAAGACCAAGGCAUGUAUCUGAUCGUCAAUCCUCUGGCCACAGUCCCCCGGGUCAGGCUUUACAGCUGAUUGAACAAUUGGGCAAAGCUGUUUGAGUAUACAUAGGGAGACGUAUUCAGAACCCGCUGGCUGAGCUGGUGAAGACUGACCCAAACACAUCAGCAUUGGAAACUACCAGAGGUGGAGAAGAGAGGAGUGAUGGGUGCUGACUGUACCCCUAGAGAAGCUCUCGUUGAAGUUGGACACUGGAGCUGGAGGCAGCGCAGUGCAUUCUGGGUGGUGGACAUUCCGUUGAAUAACAGAACCUCUGUGCAGAAGGACAAUGAUAGACGGAGAUGUCUGGGUGUAUUCAAACAAACUGAGAAAGCAUAAUAAACCACAGACCCACUCGGA